RNAcentral lists this ribosomal RNA (460 nucleotides) under uncultured bacterium. Its description in RNAcentral is "partial 16S ribosomal RNA". It matches the Rfam family "Bacterial small subunit ribosomal RNA", at positions 338 to 795 of the family's 1533-position model. The record is from RNAcentral.
CCUACGGGAGGCAGCAGUGGGGAAUAUUGGGCAAUGGACGCAAGUCUGACCCAGCCAAGUAGCGUGAAGGAUGACUGCCCUACGGGUUGUAAACUUCUUUUAUAAAGGAAUAAAGUGAGGCACGUGUGCCUUUUUGUAUGUACUUUAUGAAUAAUGAUCGGCUAACUCCGUGCCAGCAGCCGCGGUAAUACGGAGGAUCCGAGCGUUAUCCGGAUUUAUUGGGUUUAAAGGGAGCGUAGAUGGGUUGUUAAGUCAGUUGUGAAAGUUUGCGGCUUAACCGUAAAAUUGCAAUUGAUACUGGAAGUCUUGAGUACAGUUGAGGUAGGCGGAAUUCGUGGUGUAGCGGUGAAAUGCUUAGAUAUCACGAAGAACUCCGAUUGCGAAGGCAGCUUACUAAACUGCCACUGACAUUGAGGCUCGAAAGUGUGGGUAUCAAACAGGAUUAGAUACCCUUGUAGUC